GUUCUUUCAACAGUGGGUUCAUUACUGGCCUAAGGAACACUAUUGAUUUUUGUGUUAAACUGGAUCUGUCUCAAGAAUUCCAUGUCCAACCAGCAGAAUCUUAUUGUUCCCCAGGACUGAUUUUGGGACUCUUGGCUCCCACCCCUACUAACUCAGAUUUUUAAAAUCUUUGUGGAAAAAACAGAAAGAGCUCACUCUGGACCAACGGAUCAGUCUUGCUCCGUCUUCUCUGUCUCCAGGAGGAGAAUGGAGCAGCGCCUAACCAUAUCUAGGGUGGCAGGGUAAAGCAAGAAAAGAUUUCUGCAGUCACAUCUCUCUAAUUUCGUGGUGAGAGAGUUCUGAAGAGAACCUGUGCCUGCAUUUGAGGUGAUACUGAGGGGAAGGAGACAAAGUCAGAAGGAUGUUGAUUCUGAAAAAGCUUUGAAGGUCUCUCAGCACAUCAAAAUACCAGUAUAGGGUAUCAAUUUCUG
This is a long non-coding RNA of Heterocephalus glaber (naked mole-rat), 470 nucleotides long. NCBI's taxonomy places the organism in Eukaryota, Metazoa, Chordata, Mammalia, Rodentia, Bathyergidae. The record is from Ensembl.